CACUUCCAGUGCAUUCAGCACCAAAAGAUCUCCAAAACGCUGUGGUGCCCUGCUCAAGACAAACCCUGCCCUGUGUCAUCUUGGGCAUCCACGCUGGAGAACUCCUGAGCUAACGCGUGCAGGAAAUCUGGCCCCGGGGUCGUGCCAAGAUCCCACAUGCAGAAAUGGCAUCAAGGCAGUAACGGGAAGGUGGGAGCUUCAUCUAGCAUAGGAAAGGUCUCUGGGGCAGGGGCUGCCCCAAGCCUGCCCUGCCUGGCCCCUUCCCACAUGACAUGCUGUGAUGGCAGCAGGAGGUCUCGUAUGGGAAUCGGCAGCAUCUCCACCAGCCUGUUCUGUUCUAGCCAGCCUGGCAUCAGUGAGCGUGAACUUGGCAUUGGGCUGAUUUUGGCUAUUGCUCUCUGGAAGCUGCACCGUGGUCACCUGGGGACAGGGUGUCCUGAUCUUACGGUCACCGACCUAGCGCUGAGAAAGUCAAAGCUCCCAG
Falco peregrinus (peregrine falcon) is the source of this 484-nucleotide long non-coding RNA. RefSeq lists it as uncharacterized. Lineage: Eukaryota; Metazoa; Chordata; Aves; Falconiformes; Falconidae. The record is from RefSeq and is a predicted model, not a curated record. The transcript is spliced from 3 exons.